Molecule: ribosomal RNA, 426 nt
Filed under: uncultured bacterium
Lineage: Bacteria
Description: bacterial SSU rRNA
Rfam family: Bacterial small subunit ribosomal RNA
Source: RNAcentral
GUCGAGAAUCUUCCACAAUGGGCGAAAGCCUGAUGGAGCGACGCCGCGUGAAUGAAGAAGCCCUUCGGGGUGUAAAGUUCUUUUCUAUCCGAGGAAUUUUGACUUUAGGAUAGGAAUAAGGAGCUGCUAAACUCGUGCCAGCAGCAGCGGUAAUACGAGUGCUCCGAGCGUUGUCCGGAAUUACUGGGCGUAAAGAGUCUGUAGGGGGUUUGAUGCGUCUUUUGUUAAAUCUCAGUGCUCAACACUGGGGCCGCAAAGGAAACGGUCAAACUGGAGGAUGUGAGAGGUUGAUGGAACUCAUAGAGUAGGGGUGAAAUCCGUUGAUACUAUGAGGAACACCAAAGGCGAAGGCAUUCAACUGGCGCAUUCCUGACCCUGAGAGACGAAAGCGUGGGGAGCGAACGGGAUUAGAAACCCGAGUAGUCC